This 326-nucleotide ribosomal RNA is filed under the name Salmonella enterica. RNAcentral's name for it is "partial 23S ribosomal RNA". It matches the Rfam family "Bacterial large subunit ribosomal RNA", at positions 10 to 372 of the family's 2925-position model. The record is from RNAcentral. RNAcentral also lists the same sequence under 2 other names. Lineage: Bacteria; Pseudomonadati; Pseudomonadota; Gammaproteobacteria; Enterobacterales; Enterobacteriaceae.
ACUAAGCGUACACGGUGGAUGCCCUGGCAGUCAGAGGCGAUGAAGGGCGUGCUAAUCUGCGAUAAGCGCCGGUAAGGUGAUAUGAACCGUUAUAACCGGCGAUACCCGAAUGGGGAAACCCAGUGUGAUUCGUCACACUAUCAUUAACUGAAUCCAUAGGUUAAUGAGGCGAACCGGGGGAACUGAAACAUCUAAGUACCCCGAGGAAAAGAAAUCAACCGAGAUUCCCCCAGUAGCGGCGAGCGAACGGGGAGGAGCCCAGAGCCUGAAUCAGCAUGUGUGUUAGUGGAAGCGUCUGGAAAGGCGCGCGAUACAGGGUGACAGCC